AACGCGAAGAACCUUACCAACUCUUGACAUCCUCAUUGGGGAGAACAGAGAUGAUCUCUUUCAGUUCGGCUGGAUGAGUGACAGAUGCUGCAUGGCUGUCGUCAGCUCGUGUCGUGAGAUGUUGGGUUAAGUCCCGCAACGAGCGCAACCCUUGCCAUCAGUUGCCAGCAAGUAAUGUUGGGCACUCUGAUGGGACUGCCGGUGACAAGCCGGAGGAAGGUAGGGAUGACGUCAAGUCAUCAUGGCUCUUACGAGUUGGGCUACACACGUGCUACAAUGGCGCCUACAGAGGGCAGCGAGAUAGUGAUAUCGAGCGAAUCUUAAAAAGGCGUCUCAGUUCAGAUUGUACUCUGCAACUCGAGUACAUGAAGUUGGAAUCGCUAGUAAUCGCGGAUCAGCGUGCCGCGGUGAAUACGUUCCCGGGUCUUGUACACACCG
RNAcentral lists this ribosomal RNA (438 nucleotides) under uncultured bacterium. Its description in RNAcentral is "bacterial SSU rRNA". It matches the Rfam family "Bacterial small subunit ribosomal RNA", at positions 958 to 1392 of the family's 1533-position model. The record is from RNAcentral.